RNAcentral lists this transfer RNA (73 nucleotides) under Chloroflexota bacterium. RNAcentral's name for it is "Chloroflexi bacterium (anaerobic digester metagenome) tRNA-Arg". It matches the Rfam family "tRNA". From Rfam's summary of the family: Transfer RNA (tRNA) molecules are approximately 80 nucleotides in length. The record is from RNAcentral. Lineage: Bacteria; Bacillati; Chloroflexota.
GCCCCUGUAGCUCAAUGGACAGAGCAGCAGUCUUCUAAACUGUUUGUUGCGCGUUCGAUUCGCGCCAGGGGUA